ACCAACAUACCGAAACUCACAAAAAACCAACAUACCAAAACUCACAAAAAACCAACUUACCAAAGCCCACAUUUAUGUAACAAGUGAGUUUUUUCUGUGUUUAACUCAGUUUUAACCAAGUUGGUAAAAAUACCCACUUUAAACACAGAAAAAACCAACUUACCAAAACUCGCAAAAAACCAACAUACCGAAACUCACAAAAAACCAACUUACCAAAACUCACAAAAAACCAACUUACCAAAGCCCACAUUUAUGUAACAAGUGAGUUUUUUCUGUGUUUAACUCAGUUUCAACCAAGUUGGUAAAAAUACCCACUUUAAACACAGAAAAAAACAACUUACCAAAACUCACAAAAACCAACAUACCAAAACCCACUAAAAACCAACUGCCAAUACCGCUUGGUUUAACACGGAUAAAACUCGUGUUUAACUCGAGUUUUACACACUUAUUUGGGAAGGGUCUUUGACUAUAAACCGACGUUAAUCAGAACUCAAACUCGGCCCUAAGCAAUAUGAGCGAGGCCAACAUGUCAUCUCAGCGUCUUGAGCUUCAGCAAACAUUGUUAGCUAGCAAGAAAAACGUCGUUGUAGUGAAUGUUGCUGACAAUUGCAACCCUCUUCUCACACAACUACUACAACUCGCUCAAGAAAUUCAGCAUGAAGACGUCUUGUCUAUGAAAAUGUGCUCACAAGGCGGCUACAUCAACACUCCCAAAAGCGGAGCCUUGGUGAGUUCGACUUCCGUCCCAGCAUUGAUGUCGCUUAGCAACGACAAAUUGUUCCAAACGAGUCGCUGUGAUGGAAACGAUAUGAGAUAGAGCAGGCGUUGAGUGACUCGUCCGUAAAUGUGACUGACCUGGAUAUGUUGCUCUCGAAUUAUGUGAACCUUAUGCCAGCUGUUAAGCCUGCAAUUGACUCCAUUCAACAACAGCUAUUGUCAGGCAUUCCCGGGUUUACGGUGGCGACUUUGGCGUAAGCUCCAUCUCUGUGUAUGGCCCGGUUGCAGCAGCAGCAACUAGAACAACAAGUAGUAUCUGAGCGGUGCUCUGGGAUAUGGGGCUUAAUGUAUGUGCUUAAAGUGUCAUCCCAGAUAAGCUUGUGCAGACUGCACAUACAUUGAGUCCUAUUUGCCCAGAACGACGCUCACAUAAUUCACUUAACUUCAGUCCUUUUUCUGCCGGAUUGAGUUAAAGAUCAUAGCAUCAAAUGGGAAUUCUAUGUUUUUAAAUUAAAUAGCAAAUAAAAGAAGACCUCAUAUCAGUUUUUAUCAUAGAAGGUCAGGACAUAGUUUUGUCUAUUGUUCAGCCAAAGUUGAGCCACUGAAACAAAAGUUUUUCAUUGCAUAAAAAAAUUGUAUUUAAUUUUAGUUAAACAAUUAUUUAAAUGGCUUCAGCACAUUAUAAAAGUAUUAUCUUCAUUUAUUUUCAAUAUUUAUUUUAAUUCCUGGAUUUUGUCUUAAGAGCAGGUUCCUACAGGAUCCUGUGCACUCAUAGAUAGGUAGCCAGCUGAACAACAGGCUCUAUGGUCGGCUGGGCCCAAACGCCCAGUGACACUUCCUGGCCUAGGACUUUGGGAAAAAUGCUCAACGAGUUCUACCCGCAGGUUGCAGCCACUCUAAACCUGGGGUUCCAAACUUUCCUGCCCAGUGUUCGAGAUUACCUCAUCAACAAGCUGCCUUGAGCACAAAGUAUUCAAAGUAAGCAGUUGUGAUCACCCUACAUCAGAGAUCGUGCGGUGUGCUGCAUCAACGUUUAGCUCGUUGCCAAUUUAGAGGCCUGAUUUUAAUUGAAUCUUGCUGAACUUUGUGUACUGAAAUUACUCAAUUGUGUGAAACCUUUGAACUGUGGGUCAUGGGUCGCCCCAAACCGUUCAGUGCCAAGGGAUAAAAUCCUCCACCGUGACCUUGACCGUGCACCAUCACUCAACAGGGGAUCAGGUUAAAGGUCACAUGGGCUUGGGUGGUCAUGUUAGUAAGAAAGUAAACCCGGAAAGCCAAGCGUUGAGUUUGUUCUUGAAGCAUUUGCACCAGCAGCAGUCAUCAUCUUGAGAUUCUUGCAUCUCCAGCAAACCUCAGAUGCUAUUUGACGAAAUCAGACCAUCCAAUCAGAAACACAGCCGGUAGCAGUAGCUGUUACCAUAUUGACCCCAUUCAAACCUAAGAAGCUCAGAGAUAAAUACUGUUUUAGAUGUGCUAGACUCUACAUACCUCCUGGUUGUUCAGCACUUACUCUGACUCUUUGAAUUUUAUGACGGGUGUAAAUGAAUGACCUUGUUCAGAUCGAAAUGGCAGAAUGACAUAUCACAACAAUUCAGGAGGAAAGCCAGAAAGUCAUGUCAACAGCCACAUUUCUUAUAUGACUAGCCAAGUUGUAUUCAAUGUAAAACACUAGUUUAUGUUUUAUGGUAAUUAUGACGCUGUCAGUGAUUUGAUGUGGAAAGUUUUGGUAAAAUAUAGAACGUAAAUCGUAAGCACACAUAUUACAAGUCUAUUCAAUGUCUUUCUCUGUAUUAUAAAACUUUCACUACAGAUUUUAAUCCUGAUAAUGAUACAAUUUUGUCAAAGCUGUUUAAAUGAUGCUGGUAACUUGGACAAAAUUGAAAAAAUAUUGAAGUAUUGUCCUGUAAUGAAACAUGUUCAUGUUUUCUGUUUUUACCAAUAAUAUAGAUGUGCUAAUUAAAAGAAUUCUUCAGAAAGGCUGAGAGUUAUGACACAUCAGCUUUGUCUGUCUAUCAAUCUUUCUGAAAACAAUCCUAGUCAAUUUGCUCACCCGGGCCAGUAAUCAAUCAAGAAUCUUGUUUAGUAGCAUACUAUUUCAUGGGAAUAUAAAUAAAUUCUGGGAAAAAUCAUUCAAUCUACCUAACAUUAUCAAUUCUGUAUUUACUACCAGUACUUUGUUGAUUUAAAUGGCUAUGGUUUGUUAAAUAAUUAGAGUAUGACUCUAUUGAUGAAUUGUGUUGUUAGAUCAUAGACUUACAUUCUCAUACGUGCUAAAAUUUGUUUUGUUAUGCUGUAUAUAUAUUCAUUUAUACACAUUUAGACAAAUUUAGACAUCCAGAUUGUAUUCUCGGGAAUCAGUGAGUAACUUAACCCAUAUUUCAUGAUCACAGAAUGAAGGUAUAUUUUGGUAUUUAUAGAUAAAGCAACUGCAAAACAGUUGUAUUUUCGAUGUAAAUUAUUCAUUUAUUGUUGCCAUUUUUAUGAGAAAAACUGUUUUCAUUCAUUUGUACAACCAUUGUUAUAACAUUGUUAGUUUGAAUGCAUAUAUGUAUUAAACUGUUUAAGUAAUGAAGUGUAACAGAUUCUUAAGAUAAAAAUAUACUUAAGGCAAUAGAAAAACCUUGUUAUAUGCAAAGCUUUUCAUUCCACAUGACCAGAUAAUGAGUAGCAAAAUCCUCACAUGCUCCUAUGUUAAAUGUCAAGGUUGUAGUUCAAGU
This is a long non-coding RNA of Dreissena polymorpha, 3434 nucleotides long. RefSeq lists it as uncharacterized. The record is from RefSeq and is a predicted model, not a curated record. The transcript has 7 exons. Lineage: Eukaryota; Metazoa; Mollusca; Bivalvia; Myida; Dreissenidae.